AACACUGUUAACCUGCGGUACCUGCGGAAGGAUCAUUACCGAAGUUACUCUUCAUACCCUUUUGUGAACCCUACCAACCUUGCCGCGCGUUGCCUCGGCGGGGAGGUCCGGGAGGGGUUGCCGGGGCCCCGCGCCCCGGUCCCCCCCUCGGGCCCCCGCCGGCCGCGCCGAACUCUUCAUUUGCAAAGCGGACUGCAUGUUCUGAUUAUAUCUUGAAAACAAGUCAAAACUUUCAACAAC
RNAcentral lists this unclassified non-coding RNA (240 nucleotides) under soil metagenome. Its description in RNAcentral is "partial contains 5.8S ribosomal RNA, internal transcribed spacer 2, and large subunit ribosomal RNA". The record is from RNAcentral.